This 369-nucleotide ribosomal RNA is filed under the name Salmonella enterica subsp. enterica serovar Senftenberg. RNAcentral describes it as "partial 23S ribosomal RNA". It matches the Rfam family "Bacterial large subunit ribosomal RNA", at positions 1154 to 1503 of the family's 2925-position model. The record is from RNAcentral. Lineage: Bacteria; Pseudomonadati; Pseudomonadota; Gammaproteobacteria; Enterobacterales; Enterobacteriaceae.
CGUAUCACUUAAAGCGAUUCAGCGGGUUACGAUUGACGGAGCGAAGCGACGUCAAAGCGUAUACAAAGUCGAGUCGGUUUAAGGAUACGUUCGUUGGGUAGGGGAGCGUUCUGUAAGCCUGCGAAGGUGGCCUGUGAGGGUUGCUGGAGGUAUCAGAAGUGCGAAUGCUGACAUAAGUAACGAUAAAGCGGGUGAAAAGCCCGCUCGCCGGAAGACCAAGGGUUCCUGUCCAACGUUAAUCGGGGCAGGGUGAGUCGACCCCUAAGGCGAGGCCGAAAGGCGUAGUCGAUGGGAAACGGGUUAAUAUUCCCGUACUUGGUGUUACUGCGAAGGGGGGACGGAGAAGGCUAUGUUGGCCGGGCGACGGUU